UACAGAGGUGGCAAGCGUUGUUCGGAAUUACUGGGCGUAGAGGGCGCGUAGGCGGCUUGGUCAGUCCCGUGUGAAAUCCCUCGGCUCAACUGAGGAACUGCACGGGAAACUGCCUGGCUUGAGUUCGGGAGAGGGAAGCGGAAUUCCGGGUGUAGCGGUGAAAUGCGUAGAUAUCCGGAGGAACACCGGUGGCGAAGGCGGCUUCCUGGACCGACACUGACGCUGAGGCGCGAAAGCUAGGGGAGCAAACGGG
RNAcentral lists this ribosomal RNA (253 nucleotides) under uncultured bacterium. Its description in RNAcentral is "partial 16S ribosomal RNA". It matches the Rfam family "Bacterial small subunit ribosomal RNA", at positions 524 to 776 of the family's 1533-position model. The record is from RNAcentral.